GGGGUUGUAGCUCAGUGGUAGAGCCCUUGCCUCCCACGUGUGAAACCCUGAGUUCGAUCCUCAGCACCA
RNAcentral lists this transfer RNA (69 nucleotides) under Ictidomys tridecemlineatus (thirteen-lined ground squirrel). Its description in RNAcentral is "Spermophilus tridecemlineatus (thirteen-lined ground squirrel) tRNA". It matches the Rfam family "tRNA". From Rfam's summary of the family: Transfer RNA (tRNA) molecules are approximately 80 nucleotides in length. Their secondary structure includes four short double-helical elements and three loops (D, anti-codon, and T loops). The record is from Rfam by way of RNAcentral. Lineage: Eukaryota; Metazoa; Chordata; Mammalia; Rodentia; Sciuridae.